UCCCGCCGAGCGCUGCCGCUGCGGCCAAUCGGGCGCCAGGUGGGGCCGCACCUGCGGGACAGCCCGCAGCUUCCCUCCUCUUUGCUCGCUGCUGUUCGCAGGCUGGCUGUGGUGCCCUUGCGUUCUCCAAGGCCGGAACCGGACAGAGAAUUCCAGACUAAGUGAAGGAAGAGUGCCAAUAUUUGCCUGCACAAAUCAAGGCAACAGAGGCAUCCUGACACGGAGCAGCAUUCCUCCACCAGCAGCAUCCACUCAAUGACAAUAAUAAUGACAAUGACACCAACAACAGAGAUCUACUGACAAAUACUCUCCUUCCUCUCUGCAUGGCAUGACUGUUGUUGCCCAUGUGUAUACAAGUGUUGAUGAUGAUCUUACUUCUCCAAGUUCUGAGACCAGUUUAAACAAAAAAAGAAAACAGACAACAAUCUUGUGAAGAAAGAAAUUUGGAGUAAAUAUAUAUAUAUUUUUUUUAAGAAAUUAUUUCCCUAAGAAGCUGAGUAAAGAAACUAGACUUCUGCCCUGGCAGUGAUGGGAAAGAAUCCUCCUUCUUCUGCCAAAUGGUACAAGAGGAAAACAGCUGAAAAUAAGAUGGAGAGAGCCCACCCUCACACACCUGCAGUCCACUUGGAUAACUGGAAGCAUCCCUCCCUUCCCUUUGAUGUG
Long non-coding RNA from Marmota monax (woodchuck), 663 nucleotides. RefSeq lists it as uncharacterized. The record is from RefSeq and is a predicted model, not a curated record. NCBI's taxonomy places the organism in Eukaryota, Metazoa, Chordata, Mammalia, Rodentia, Sciuridae. The transcript has 5 exons.